Molecule: microRNA precursor, 84 nt
Organism: Colobus angolensis palliatus
Lineage: Eukaryota; Metazoa; Chordata; Mammalia; Primates; Cercopithecidae
Source: Ensembl
UAUUAGGUUGGUGCAAAAGUAAUUGCGGUUUUUGCCUUUAAAAGUAAUGGCAAAAACCAGAAUUACUUUUGCACCAAUCUAGUA